CACACACACACCUAGCUGUCUCUCUUUCUCUGUCUCAUUCUGCGGCGUACCUCGCAUAGUUGUAUUUCAUUCACAUUACAUUAUCUCAUGUCUGUGUUUCUAUCGUUACUCCUAUGUCUUCUAACCCUCCCCAGUAUUGUAUCGCUUCCCCUCCGUUGCUACUAACACUAUGCAUACAACUUACGUGCCUCUGAAAUAUAGACAUACGUAGGCCUGUCAUAUCAUCCCUUUUCUCAUAUUGUUUAUCUAUCAACCUAUUUACACGCAAAUGCCUCAGUUCGGCGCCAUGUCGAGUGUAGACAAAAGUGCAAGGCGGACUCACACUUUUCUUGGCGUCGCCGUCACCUAAGCGCCUCCUCAGCGCUCCGCCAAGACUUGUUGAUGCGCGGUAACCUUGAGACGCUGUGACGUGUUUCAGUGUUCGUCCUCGGGCAGAAAGGCGCCGGUGCCAUCGGGAUGAUGAUAAAAAUGGCCAACACUGAACAGAUUGCUUCCGUGGGCGGAAAUGAUGACCAGGCUUGUUGUAGAACCUUUAGUUGGGCUGAGUUCCUUCACUGUUGAACUCGCUCACAGGUUCAGCCGUGACGAACAUAAAGACCGACCAAGCGGCUGAGUUCCUUCGCUGUUGAACUCGCCGGCUUCCCUGUCUGAUCCGCACCACGGAGAAACAUGAAUGAAAGGCCUGGAAAGCAUGGCUGAGUUCCCGUAAGUUUGAAUUCGCUGGCUUUAUCUGACCAGUGCAUGGCCAGGCGCCUGAUGACUGUCCUCAGACGAAACAAUAAUUACAGUAAUAAAAAAUAAAUAAAAAGAUCGCUGACUUGACGCGACGUAACGGUGACGCGAGGAGCAGCGUGAGUCUGCCUUAGUGGUUGGUCGUUUAAGGGUCCUCUAAGGGUCUCUUAAUGGCCGAAGGGAUGCACCAAACCCUCUCUUAUCUCGUGCAUGGCGUCGAUCCUGUGGCAAAAGCAACGCGCGCGCACACUCUCUCUCUCUCUCUCUCACACACACACACACACACACACACACACACACACACACACACACACACACACACACACACACACACACACACACACACACACACACACACACACACACACACACACACACACACACACACACACACACACACACACACACACACACACACACACACACACACACACACACACACACACACACACACACACACUCUCUUCACUGGACCUCUCUCUCCGUCUCACACUUUUAUCAGUUAUUUCUUUUGUGUUGUUUUCUUUCUCCUUCCUUCCUUCCUUCAUUCAUUCAUUCAUUUGUUCAUUCUCUUAGAUCGAAGCGAGUCAAGUAUAGUGGUCAGCAGGCAUCUUUAGCAUGUGACACAAAUCCUCCACAUAAUGUCAAAGUAUAUUAGUACUCCCAUGUUUUAAAAAAAGAACAACACAGAAGUUCCGUCCGUGAGUCAUCCGGCCUCAGCUCGGCGCCAUGUCGAGUGUAGACAAAAGUGCAAGGCGGACUCACUCUGUUCUUGGCGUCGCCGUCACCUAAGCGCCUCCUCAGCGCUCCGCCAAGACUUGUUGAUGCGCGGUAACCUUGAGACGCUCUGACGUGUUUCAGUGUUCGUCCUCGGGCAGAAAGGCGCCGGUGCCAUCGGGAUGAUGAUAAAAAUGGCCAACAAUGAACAGAUUGCUUCCGUGGGGCGGAAAUGAUGACCAGGCUUCUUGUAGAACCUUUAGUUGGGCUGAGUUCCUUCACUGUUGAACUCGCUCACAGGUUCAGCCGUGACGAACAUAAAGACCGACCAAGCGGCUGAGUUCCUUCGCUGUUGAACUCGCCGGCUUCCCUGUCUGAUCCGCACCACGGAGAAACAUGAAUGAAAGGCCUGGAAAGCAUGGCUGAGUUCCCGUAAGGUUGAAUUCGCUGGCUUUAUCUGACCAGUGCAUGGCCAGGCGCCUGAUGACUGUCCUCAGACGAAACAAUAAUUACAGUAAUAAAAAAUAAAAAAAAAGAUCGCUGACUUGACGCGACGUAACGGUGACGCGAGGAGCAGCGUGAGUCUGCCUUAGUGGUUGGUCGUUUAAGGGUCCUCUAAGGGUCUCUUAAUGGCCGAAGGGAUGCACCAAACCCUCUCUUAUCUCGUGCAUGGCGUCGAUCCUGUGGCAAAAGCAACGCGCGCGCACACUCUCUCUCUCUCUCUCUCACACACACACACACACACACACACACACACACACACACACACACACACACACACACACACACACACACACACACACACACACACACACACACACACACACACACACACACACACACACACACACACACACACACACACACUCUCUUCACUGGACCUCUCUCUCCGUCUCACACUUUUAUCAGUUAUUUCUUUUGUGUUGUUUUCUUUCU
Molecule: long non-coding RNA, 2385 nt
Organism: Eriocheir sinensis (Chinese mitten crab)
Lineage: Eukaryota; Metazoa; Arthropoda; Malacostraca; Decapoda; Varunidae
Exons: 2
Source: RefSeq, a predicted model, not a curated record